CUAGCUGUAAACGAUGGAUACUAGGCGUUGAGAGUAUCGACCCUCUCAGUGUCGUAGCUAACGCGUUAAGUCUCCCGCCUGGGGAGUACGCGCGCAAGCGUGAAACUCAAAGGAAUUGACGGGGGCCCGCACAAGCGGUGGAGUAUGUGGUUUAAUUCGAUGCAACGCGAAGAACCUUACCAGGGCUUGACAUGUCCGGAACCCUGCCCAAAGGCGGGGGUGCCUACGGGAACCGGAACACAGGUGGUGC
Molecule: ribosomal RNA, 250 nt
Filed under: uncultured Chroococcidiopsis sp.
Lineage: Bacteria; Bacillati; Cyanobacteriota; Cyanophyceae; Chroococcidiopsidales; Chroococcidiopsidaceae
Description: partial 16S ribosomal RNA
Rfam family: Bacterial small subunit ribosomal RNA
Source: RNAcentral